UACGAAGGGGGCUAGCGUUGUUCGGAUUUACUGGGCGUAAAGCGCACGUAGGCGGAUUUGUAAGUCAGGGGUGAAAUCCCGGGGCUCAACCUCGGAACUGCCUUUGAUACUGCAAAUCUCGAGUCCGGAAGAGGUGAGUGGAAUUCCUAGUGUAGAGGUGAAAUUCGUAGAUAUUAGGAAGAACACCAGUGGCGAAGGCGGCUCACCGGUCCGGUACUGACGCUGAGGUGCGAAAGCGUGGGGAGCAAACAGG
This 253-nucleotide ribosomal RNA is filed under the name uncultured bacterium. Its description in RNAcentral is "partial 16S ribosomal RNA". It matches the Rfam family "Bacterial small subunit ribosomal RNA", at positions 524 to 776 of the family's 1533-position model. The record is from RNAcentral.